GACGAACGCUGGCGGCGUGCCUAAUACAUGCAAGUUGAGCGCUGAAGGUUGGUACUUGUACCAACUGGAUGAGCAGCGAACGGGUGAGUAACGCGUGGGGAAUCUGCCUUUGAGCGGGGGACAACAUUUGGAAACGAAUGCUAAUACCGCAUAAAAACUUUAAACACAAGUUUUAAGUUUGAAAGAUGCAAUUGCAUCACUCAAAGAUGAUCCCGCGUUGUAUUAGCUAGUUGGUGAGGUAAAGGCUCACCAAGGCGAGGAUACAUAGCCGACCUGAGAGGGUGAUCGGCCACAUUGGGACUGAGACACGGCCCAAACUCCUACGGGAGGCAGCAGUAGGGAAUCUUCGGCAAUGGACGAAAGGCUGACCGAGCAACGCCGCGUGAGUGAAGAAGGUUUUCGGAUCGUAAAACUCUGUUGGUAGAGAAGAACGUUGGUGAGAGUGGAAAGCUCAUCAAGUGACGGUAACUACACAGAAAGGGACGGCUAACUACGUG
Molecule: ribosomal RNA, 497 nt
Filed under: uncultured bacterium
Lineage: Bacteria
Description: partial 16S ribosomal RNA
Rfam family: Bacterial small subunit ribosomal RNA
Source: RNAcentral